RNAcentral lists this ribosomal RNA (606 nucleotides) under uncultured bacterium. RNAcentral's name for it is "bacterial SSU rRNA". It matches the Rfam family "Bacterial small subunit ribosomal RNA", at positions 9 to 597 of the family's 1533-position model. The record is from RNAcentral.
GAGUUUGAUCCUGGCUCAGGAUGAACGCUAGCGACAGGCUUAACACAUGCAAGUCGAGGGGCAGCGGGGGAGGAAGCUUGCUUUCUCCUGCCGGCGACCGGCGCACGGGUGAGUAACACGUAUGCAACCUGGCCGUCACAGGUGGAUAACCGGAAGAAAUUCCGACUAAUACAGCAUAACACUCCUGAGGGACAUCCUUCGGGGGUCAAAGGAGGCGACUCCGGUGACGGAUGGGCAUGCGGCGCAUUAGGUAGUUGGUAGGGUAACGGCCUACCAAGCCGACGAUGCGUAGGGGUUCUGAGAGGAAGGUCCCCCACAUUGGAACUGGGACACGGUCCAAACUCCUACGGGAGGCAGCAGUGAGGAAUAUUGGUCAAUGGCCGGAAGGCUGAACCAGCCAAGUCGCGUGAGGGAAUAAGGCCCUAUGGGUCGUAAACCUCUUUUGUCAGGGAGCAAAGGCGUCCACGAGUGGACGAAAGGAGAGUACCUGAAGAAAAAGCAUCGGCUAACUCCGUGCCAGCAGCCGCGGUAAUACGGAGGAUGCGAGCGUUAUCCGGAUUUAUUGGGUUUAAAGGGUGCGUAGGCGGAGUGUCAAGUCAGCGGUAA